This 253-nucleotide ribosomal RNA is filed under the name uncultured bacterium. Its description in RNAcentral is "partial 16S ribosomal RNA". It matches the Rfam family "Bacterial small subunit ribosomal RNA", at positions 524 to 776 of the family's 1533-position model. The record is from RNAcentral.
UACGAAGGGGGCUAGCGUUGUUCGGAAUUACUGGGCGUAAAGCGCGCGUAGGCGGAUAUUUAAGUCAGGGGUGAAAUCCCGGGGCUCAACCCUGGAACUGCCUUUGAUACUGGAUAUCUGGAGUUCGGGAGAGGUGAGUGGAAUUCCGAGUGUAGAGGUGAAAUUCGUAGAUAUUCGGAGGAACACCAGAAGCGAAGGCGGCUCACUGGCCCGAUACUGACGCUGAGGCGCGAAAGCGUGGGGAGCAAACGGG